This 71-nucleotide transfer RNA is filed under the name Loxodonta africana (African savanna elephant). It matches the Rfam family "tRNA". From Rfam's summary of the family: Transfer RNA (tRNA) molecules are approximately 80 nucleotides in length. Their secondary structure includes four short double-helical elements and three loops (D, anti-codon, and T loops). Further hydrogen bonds mediate the characteristic L-shaped molecular structure. tRNAs have two regions of fundamental functional importance: the anti-codon, which is responsible for specific mRNA codon recognition, and the 3' end, to which the tRNAs corresponding amino acid is attached (by aminoacyl-tRNA synthetases). tRNAs cope with the degeneracy of the genetic code in two manners: having more than one tRNA (with a specific anti-codon) for a particular amino acid; and 'wobble' base-pairing, i.e. permitting non-standard base-pairing at the 3rd anti-codon position. Lineage: Eukaryota; Metazoa; Chordata; Mammalia; Proboscidea; Elephantidae. The record is from Rfam by way of RNAcentral.
GCAUUGAUGGUUCAGUGGUAGAAUUCUCGCCUCCCAUGCGGGAGACCCAGGUUCGAUUCCUAAGCAACGCA